Molecule: ribosomal RNA, 607 nt
Filed under: uncultured bacterium
Lineage: Bacteria
Description: bacterial SSU rRNA
Rfam family: Bacterial small subunit ribosomal RNA
Source: RNAcentral
CCAGACUCCUACGGGAGGCAGCAGUGGGGAAUCUUCCGCAAUGGACGAAAGUCUGACGGAGCAACGCCGCGUGAGUGAUGACGGCCUUCGGGUUGUAAAGCUCUGUUAAUCGGGACGAAAGGCCUUCUUGCGAAUAGUGAGAAGGAUUGACGGUACCGGAAUAGAAAGCCACGGCUAACUACGUGCCAGCAGCCGCGGUAAUACGUAGGUGGCAAGCGUUGUCCGGAAUUAUUGGGCGUAAAGCGCGCGCAGGCGGAUAGGUCAGUCUGUCUUAAAAGUUCGGGGCUUAACCCCGUGAUGGGAUGGAAACUGCCAAUCUAGAGUAUCGGAGAGGAAAGUGGAAUUCCUAGUGUAGCGGUGAAAUGCGUAGAUAUUAGGAAGAACACCAGUGGCGAAGGCGACUUUCUGGACGAAAACUGACGCUGAGGCGCGAAAGCCAGGGGAGCGAACGGGAUUAGAUACCCCGGUAGUCCUGGCCGUAAACGAUGGGUACUAGGUGUAGGAGGUAUCGACACCUUCUGUGCCGGAGUUAACGCAAUAAGUACCCCGCCUGGGGAGUACGACCGCAAGGUUGAAACUCAAAGGAAUUGACGGGGGCCCGCACAAG